AAAAAGGUUUUAUUAAAAACUAUUGCACAUACACCAAACAGAGUUUG
Folsomia candida is the source of this 47-nucleotide non-coding RNA. Lineage: Eukaryota; Metazoa; Arthropoda; Collembola; Entomobryomorpha; Isotomidae. The record is from Rfam.